UUUCUUAUAUAUAUAUAUACACACAUAUAUAUUGGGAAAUCUAUCCUAAUUUCUAACUAUAAAACUUUAAUAUAAUGAAAAAUUUAAAUAUGAACAAACAAAAUUAGUUUUUUAUCCAUGAAAAUAGUUGGUUUAAUUAUUCUGUUGAUCUCUAUAAUUUCGCAAAAUUUUCAAUUAGGUCCCUAUACUUUUUUUCCUUUCAAUUGGGUCCCUAUACGUUAAUUUUUUUUUCAAUUUAGUCCCUACCGUCAUAAAACCGUUUGAAAUAACAGAAUAUUCCAUCAAAAAAUUGAAUAUUCUCAUAAUUUGGUUAAAAAAUUUAAUUAAAAAUAUCUCUAUUUUUUGAAAUACCAAAAAUACCCUUUAUAUUUUAUCCCCCAAAAUCAGAGAACUCUAACUACCCCUAAGUUAUUCUCCUAAUUUUCCUAUUGGAUUUCUCCUCCGUCGCACUCUGCUACCACCGUCUUCCAUGGCGUCGUCGUCGUCCGUUGCUGGGUGGUCGUCGUCCCUCUGCCCAUGGGGGCUCUGUUCUGCUCCGCUCGUCCGCCUUGCCUAUUGCAUCCCCUCGUCCUGCCUUGCCUCACUGUGUCUCGGGUGCCUUGUCUCGAGUUGCCGCUCCUCGACUCCCUUUUGCUGUCUGGACUGGUUCUGCAACAACAGGUGAUGAUUGAAUUUUGUUUUAGUUUUUCAACUGUUGGAUCGGAGGAGAUGAAGGGACCAGGUGGCAUGUGGGAAGGAAACCAGUCAGAUGGCUUUCAUUUGUUUGAAUUGCAAAGAUCGGGAGUAGAAUGAACAUGUGGGUUUCUGUCAGCGUUGGGUAAUAAUUCUUAAAACAACUAGUAGUCAAACGGCAUCCUCUCCCGAUUCUAAUGCUUCAGGUACAAUGUUGAGAAAUCUUGAUUGUUAAAUACCUCUAAUUUUGCUUAUGCUUAUUUUUGGUUGCUGCUUGUAUGUAAUUUGACUUUAUUUGAUUAGGUAACCAGCAUCUUGAAUGACAAGGAGAACCAAUUGAUCUAGUUGUGAAGCUUAGUUUGCUAAAAUUAGUUUUGGUUGUGUUAAAAAAUUUUGAUUAUGAGUUCUGAUUAUGUAUUUUAUCUAUAAUUAAUUGAUUAUGUUAGAAAUAAGAAAAGAUGUGAGAUUGGAGAUAAGGUGUUUGAUUAAAUGCCUUUGAGAGAGUUGAAUUGAUUAUGAGCUCUGAUUAUGUAUUUUAUCUAUUAUUAAUUGAUUAUGAGUUUAAUUGAUCAUUGUCAUAGAGGCAUACAGGACUCUCAGACAUCGUGGUUUUAUCCUGCUGCCCAGGUUGUGAGAGAUUUUCAAGACAAAUUUGCGGUUUAUUCCGUUUGACAAUGGUUCUAAAAUCGCGUUUAUUGUUACAGUGAGUAAUCCUUGGUCUAUCUAUUUCCAAGACAAACUUGCAGCUGCAGUGGCUUGUUCCAAUUGACUUGUUGCAGUUGAAGGAAAUUUUGGAUUCGGAUUUAGUGCCAUUGAAGUUGAGAUUAUAAUAUUGCACAGCAUAAUACGAGGGCACAUGUAAUUGCAGAAUCAUGCCGUCAACAGGGAAAUGCUGGCAUGGCAUAUUCACAUCUACCGAAUCAUGCCGUCAACAACAUGAGUAUGAUCAAUGACUUCGAAGUUCAAAGUUUCUGGGUACCUUCCUAGUUCUCAUUCUCAUUUGUCUAUUUUGUCUCUAAAUUGUAAAUUUCAAGUAAAUAAAGUGCACUGUCCCCACUCAGGUGAUUUCGUACGUAAGAUGUGGUCAAUUUCUUCUGAUUUAGUUUUUUUUUUUGGACAUAAAAGUUGCUUUGUAUUAACUAUUAGGACCUAGAAUGUCCUUGUAAACCAAAUUACAAACUUCAGCAGGUAUAUCUCUUUCAGCCAUAUUAAGUUUAGUUGGGUAAAAGCUAAAUUAGCUAAUUUGUGAGCCACCAAGUUUUCAUCUCUCUUAACAUGUGUUAUCUGAAAAUAUCU
This is a non-coding RNA of Arachis ipaensis, 1968 nucleotides long. The record is from RefSeq and is a predicted model, not a curated record. NCBI's taxonomy places the organism in Eukaryota, Viridiplantae, Streptophyta, Magnoliopsida, Fabales, Fabaceae.